RNAcentral lists this ribosomal RNA (494 nucleotides) under uncultured bacterium. Its description in RNAcentral is "partial 16S ribosomal RNA". It matches the Rfam family "Bacterial small subunit ribosomal RNA", at positions 28 to 507 of the family's 1533-position model. The record is from RNAcentral.
GACGAACGCUGGCGGCGCGCUUAACACAUGCAAGUCGAACGGAAAGGCCUGCUUUCCCUUGUGGAUUGCGGGUACUCGAGUGGCGAACGGGUGAGUAACACGUGAGUGAUCUGCCCCCAACUUGGGUAUAAGCCUGGGAAACUGGGUCUAAUUCCCGAUAGGACUGCAGGGUGGUGCCUGUGGUGGAAAACGAUUUUCUAGUGGUUGGGGAUGAGCUCGCGGCCUAUCAGCUUGUUGGUGGGGUAAUGGCCUACCAAGGCGGCGACGGGUAGCCGGCCUGAGAGGGUGGACGGCCACAUUGGGACUGAGAUACGGCCCAGACUCCUACGGGAGGCAGCAGUGGGGAAUAUUGCACAAUGGGCGGAAGCCUGAUGUAGCGACGCCGCGUGGGGGAUGACGGCCUUCGGGUUGUAAACUCCUUUCGACCGCGAGGAAGCCACCUGGUUGGAAGGGUGGUGACGGUAGUGGUAGAAGAAGCACCGGCUAACUACGUG